Long non-coding RNA from Ictalurus punctatus (channel catfish), 1435 nucleotides. RefSeq lists it as uncharacterized. The record is from RefSeq and is a predicted model, not a curated record. NCBI's taxonomy places the organism in Eukaryota, Metazoa, Chordata, Actinopteri, Siluriformes, Ictaluridae. The transcript is spliced from 4 exons.
GUGAAGGUCAUCAUCAGAGGGCUUUCAAAAUGUAUUUUUCAAUAUUAAGGCAAAACGACUCAAAGGAAAUAUAUUAACACUAUCUGAGAUAAGUUAGCAUUUACUUUUUGCCAUUCAAACAAUUUUUUAUAUAUUCUGAGUAUACUAAUUGUUGCCAUAUGGCAACAACAUGCAAUAAUGGAACUGUAGUAUGUUGUAAUUUCAGACAUUUUGCAAUUGCACCUUAUUUUCCACCUGAGGAAGGAUUUUCUGUAUUAUUUUGAAGGGAGGUAAAAAGAGGCUGAUGUGUUGAGAGACAGAAAAAAAGAGUGAGAGAGAGAGGAAAAAAAAAAAACAUCUCAGGAAUCAGAUUUACAACAGCGAGGUGAAGGUCAGAUCCACAUGAGGGGGAAAACAUCUGCAAUCUCCUGUUCAGUGGACUGUGGUGGGUUUAAAAACCUUUAACUCUGAGGUGUCGGUCUCCCAUCCAUUCUCUCACCCCCGUCUCUUCUCUAAUGGCCUCGAGUGUGAGAUGAGCUCGGGGAGUGACAGCAGGACUACAGAGGGUGAAAAAUCAUGGCUGGCAAGAAGCAAGUGGAGCUUUUGUAUAAAUGUAUAAGAUAUAUGUAGACUGAAUUCUGUCCAGUUCUCAAAUCUGAUUGGUCAGAAAGUGUUGAGUAGUUUUCUAUAAAAGCAGCUCAGAUAGUAGUUUUGGCUGUAAUUCAAAUUCAAAUCACAGGUUUAUAUUAAAGCACUCGUUCAAAUAUAGUGUAUAGAAAUUACUUUAGAAUAAUAUAGUAUAAUAUAGCUUACACAGAGACUAAUAAUAAAAAUAAACAUUGAUAAAAACAUUGAUAUGGUGAAGCUUGGUGAUAUUUAUUUAACAUUUAUGGAAGGGGUCUCCAGUGUGAAGACAUUGUAACAGUCGUCAAGACAGGACUGUGUGAUUUCUCUCAAACAAGACAAGCUGUGUUUUUUUGUCCUAUUAACUUCAAGAAGGACAAAAAAAAAGAGGACGUUAAGGGAAUGAGUGUUCAGGAGCUUGUUUUGUGGACGUGCAACAACAUUAAGUGUAACUAUAAAUGGAUAAAAACAGGAUUAUAAUUCAUUAUUAAGUAAAAAAUCCAACUGUUGACAAACUGUUGUGGUAUAUGAGGAAUAAAAGAGGAGUAAAAAAUAACUCCAACGUAUUGGAGUCGCUGAUUAUGUCCUUAUAACUUUAUGGUAAGUUGUAUCUUUGCCAUAAUUAAAAAAAAGUGUAAAUUAAAUGACACCAUACACCCUGUAAAUGAGAUGUUAUAGUAGAAACAUCACAUUAAUAUAAACCUAUGAUAUGCCUUGUAGCUGGAACUACUGUCAAAGUUGCUGCUGUAGAAAAAUAAUCAACACCUUCGGACCAAUCAGAAUCAAGAAUUCAAAUGCAUUGUGGUAUCAAUAAAAUGUAAAAUGAUGAUGA